RNAcentral lists this long non-coding RNA (1430 nucleotides) under Homo sapiens (human). RNAcentral describes it as "non-protein coding lnc-CPN2-4:57". Lineage: Eukaryota; Metazoa; Chordata; Mammalia; Primates; Hominidae. The record is from RNAcentral.
GAUACUCAGGGCACACAGCAUAUAGAGUAUUCUUGUUCCGCAAAAAACAGUACCUCUGCUGCUGCUGUACACUCUGCUGCUUCAGAGUCGCUGUUUAACACUGUGGGUUCACCCUUGAAUUCUUCCUGGAUGAAGCCAAGAACCCUCCUGGGCUAAGCCUCAAUUUUGGGGCUUGCCUGUCCUGCGUCAGCAUGAGUACGGACUUUGGGGUUACAAAUAGGUGCAUUUGCAAAUAUGGAAUCCACGAAUGAUGAAGAUAGACUAUCACUGGGUACCACCGGAAUUCUCUGACCUGAUAACUUCAUAUGCAAAUCCUGGCUGGUCCUUGGAACAGGAGAAAGGGUUGGAAAACAAAGAUCACUUUUCUCUGGCCAAAUGGAAUCACCCAACAAAGUACCUUCCUGAUGGGCCAGCUAUUUCAGAUGAUGAAGGUUUAAGAAGCAGCAUCAUCAGCGAACUGUGUUUUGAAGAUUUGAGGGAAGGGCUGACCUCAGGAUUUUAUACUAGGUAUUUGAUGCAAUGCAGACUGGAAUCCUCCCCACAAGGAUGCCCUGGCCUGAGUGGCACAGAGAUCAAUGCAGCAGUCAUUUCCUGGGCGGGGAAAGCCCAUCCACAGUGGCCCUGGAAUGAUGCUGGUCUUACCUUCUAUUCCUAGGAAGGCCCUAUCUCAAGUGGCUCUGGUCCAUGCAAACAGAUGGAAACGGGUGUGGGGAAGCACAGGCCUCCUACUCAUGUUAAGAGAGCUGCUCAGAGGCAGGAAUCCAGAACCAGGAAUGUCCCCAGUGGCUGCCCAAGGUACAAGUGGCAGGCAGCGGGGAGAAUGGCAUGUGAAGUCAUUUGUAACCUGGCCCCAGCUUGGUUUCCAAGUCUCAGAGGAGAUUAUGGAUAUGGUAGUGCCUGGCUCAGUGCUUAAAAUCCAUUCUCCUGCUAUUUCCCUCACCUACACUCAGCCCCACAAGCCGAGAUGUUUGCUGGACAUUUCAGGCACUGCCACCCAGUUCUGUCUACCUUACCUGCUAACACCUGUUGACCAUCCUUCAUGUGAAGGCUUCCCCAAAUACUUCCCAAUCAAAACACUAAAAGGCAGACCUGAAAUUAAUAAAAAUGUUAAUUAAAUCUGUACAACAGAAAGCAUAAUGCCAGUCUUUUUAAUUAUGAAAUGUAGCAUUCAUAUAAAUUUCAUUGCUUUUGAAAACAAUCUAUGGCUAGAUUCUCCUGGGUUUGUAUGAUGAUUACUGAAAACUGUAGAAAAUCUAAAAUCAAGCAAGUUGUUUAUAGGCAAUUACUUUCAGAAGCAAAAAUUAUAAAAGAACCAUGAGAUUUUUAAAGAGAAAAAAUUACAUUUGAUAUGAGAUAAUCAUGCAUUUUAAGAUGUUUAAAAUGACAUGGAGUGGGGUCCCCAGACCAGGAGAGCUGAGGGCUUAUGAAGG